This 820-nucleotide long non-coding RNA is filed under the name Marmota monax (woodchuck). The record is from RNAcentral. Lineage: Eukaryota; Metazoa; Chordata; Mammalia; Rodentia; Sciuridae.
CUUGAUAUCCUCCUGCCUUAGCCUCCAGUGUAGCUGGGAUUAGAGGUGUGUGACACCUAGUGUGCCUUCAAGGUCUCUUUCUUGUGGAUCUGGGUCCAUGGGGGCGAGACUCCACCAAGGCUUGAGGCUCCACGAGGGUGUGAGGCUUCCCGGAGCCUGGGUCUCACCUAGCUAUGAGAAGGUGGCUGGCUGACCUUUGUUCUUUCAAGAUAAACCCCCAAACUUGGGUCACAUUGUGCAGGUUUCUGGCCUUGGUUAGAAAAUAACUGUGAAUGAUAAUAUGCUUCAAUUUUGUAAAUGGAACUGGAAGAACUACUUCAUUAAAAUAAGGAAAUAAAACAAAAAGAUGGGAGAUGUGGAAGCAUCAAGGAGAACCCUAAGGUGACCUGAGGGGAUAUCCCAGAGCCGCAAGGAAACAGCCGUGCCAGUGAGAAGGAAGGGAGAGGGCUCCAGAGGCAGCUCAAAAAAAAAAAAAAAUCAUAGAUUUUUUUUCUCAGCUUUAAAAAAAAAAAUAGAAUUGGUUAGUAUAUAGCAGAUAUGCUGAAAAUUGGGUGAAAAAUUAACAAUAGGUAGAUGAAAAAUGAAGCAAAUGAGAAAACGAGGCAAUUAUUAACUUCAGAAAAAAUGAAAGCAUGUGGAGGAAAAGAGGUUGCAAUGCAUUAUUUGGUGCAGUGAAUAACAUUGAUAUUGACUUAAGGUAACAUUGACCAUUGGUUUAACAAAAAAUUACAUAUAACUAGCCAUGGGGUAAGAAAAAUGAAGUUGGGAUAGGGGAGAGAUAUUUAACAUUUUUUCACCCUGCAGGGAAAUUGAAAGACAA